This 235-nucleotide ribosomal RNA is filed under the name uncultured Lactobacillus sp. RNAcentral describes it as "partial 16S ribosomal RNA". It matches the Rfam family "Bacterial small subunit ribosomal RNA", at positions 127 to 355 of the family's 1533-position model. The record is from RNAcentral. Lineage: Bacteria; Bacillati; Bacillota; Bacilli; Lactobacillales; Lactobacillaceae.
UGCCCAAGAGAUCGGGAUAACACCUGGAAUCAGAUGCUAAUACCGGAUAACAACAGAUGAUGCCUAUCAACUGUUUAAAAGAUGGUUCUGCUAUCACUCUUGGAUGGACCUGCGGUGCAUUAGCUAGUUGGUAGGGUAACGGCCUACCAAGGCGAUGAUGCAUAGCCGAGUUGAGAGACUGAUCGGCCACAUUGGGACUGAGACACGGCCCAAACUCCUACGGGAAGCAGCAGCC